AUUCAUUGUGACAUGAUCAAAUGUAGUUGCCAUGCUAUACAGAACAUCUCCAGAGCUCAUUCCUGGGAAAAUGUGAAAAGGGGAAAUAACAUAUUUUAAGAUGACAAAAUGGUUGCUAUUCAAAGAACAUAUACUGGGUAUUUUGGUUUGGAAUGAAGUGCCCCUUCCAGAUUUAUGUGUUAAAGCCUCAACUGUUGUCACCUUGAAGGAAGGUUUUGAAAACUUAGGAGGUAGGCAGGUCACUAGACAGGUGGGUGGGUCCUUGCAUGUAUCUCUGCCCUUGCUCCUUUCUUGGUUGCCAUAAUGUGAACUGUCAUUCUUUGCCAAGAUUUCCCUGCUGUUGUGGACUGAUUUCUCUAGAAUCAUGAGCCGUAAUAAAUUCCUCUUAGAAAUCCCAGCUCGGGAGGCAGAGGUAGAAGGAUCUCUGAGUUCAAGGCCAGCCUGGUCUACAGAGUGAGUUCAAGACCAACCAAAGCUACACACGGAAAAACCCAGUCUCAAAAAAGGUUGGGGAGGGGUGUGGCCUGGAGAGAUGGCUCAGCAGUUAAGAACACUGACUGUUCUUCUAGAGGUCCUGAGUUCAAUUUCCAGCAACCACAUGAUGGGUACAGUGUACUCAUGUAAAUAAAAUAAAUUAAAAAAAAAAAAAA
This 650-nucleotide long non-coding RNA is filed under the name Mus musculus (house mouse). Its description in RNAcentral is "predicted gene, 48357". The record is from RNAcentral. Lineage: Eukaryota; Metazoa; Chordata; Mammalia; Rodentia; Muridae.